UACGAAGGGGGCUAGCGUUGCCCGGAAUUACUGGGCGUAAAGCGCACGUAGGCGGCUUUCUAAGUCUGGGGUGAAAUCCUGGAGCUCAACUCCAGAACUGCCUUCGAUACUGGAGAGCUCGAGUCCGGGAGAGGUGAGUGGAACUGCGAGUGUAGAGGUGAAAUUCGUAGAUAUUCGCAAGAACACCAGUGGCGAAGGCGGCUCACUGGCCCGGUACUGACGCUGAGGUACGAAAGCGUGGGGAGCAAACAGG
This 253-nucleotide ribosomal RNA is filed under the name uncultured bacterium. RNAcentral describes it as "partial 16S ribosomal RNA". It matches the Rfam family "Bacterial small subunit ribosomal RNA", at positions 524 to 776 of the family's 1533-position model. The record is from RNAcentral.